RNAcentral lists this ribosomal RNA (403 nucleotides) under uncultured bacterium. RNAcentral describes it as "partial 16S ribosomal RNA". It matches the Rfam family "Bacterial small subunit ribosomal RNA", at positions 28 to 526 of the family's 1533-position model. The record is from RNAcentral.
GACGAACGCUGGCGGCGUGCCUAAUACAUGCAAGUCGAACGCAGUGGGGACGGGUGAGUAACACGUGGGUAACCUCAACUCAGAGGGGAUACCACUUGGAAACAGGUGCUAAACCGAUACUGAUGGAUGGACCCGCGGUGGAUUAGCUAGUUGGUGAGGUAACGGCUAACCAAGGCGACGAUGCAUAGCCGGUCUGAGAGGAUGAUCAGCCACACGGGAACUGAGACACGGCCCAGACUCCUACGGGAGGCAGCAGUAGGGAAUCUUCGGCAAUGGACGAAAGUCUGACCGAGCAAUGCCGCGUGUGUGAAGAAGGUUUUCGGAUCGUAAAGCUCUUUUGUUAGGGAAGCGGUAUCUACACAGAAAGCCACGGCUAACUACGUGCCAGCAGCCGCGGUAAUUC